This 978-nucleotide ribosomal RNA is filed under the name Triticum aestivum (bread wheat). RNAcentral describes it as "partial small subunit ribosomal RNA". The record is from RNAcentral. Lineage: Eukaryota; Viridiplantae; Streptophyta; Magnoliopsida; Poales; Poaceae.
AUGACGGAUGAUGAUGGACCUUGGUAUGGCGGAUUAUUCGAUGAGUGGGAUAAGGAGCAUCGUGCUCGUGCCAUUGAGAACGGACAUCUUAUAGUUGCUAUGCGCAUGAGGGGACAUUCGGCUGAUGACUUUACUUACGACCCGCGGUACGAGCCUUACAUUCGGAGAUUGGUUCUUCUCCCAUUCGUGUUGCAGUUUAAGCGACGCGCUCCGCCAGUGAACCACGCGGCGCUGACCGCACUUGUGGAUCGUUGGAGGCCGGAGACUCACUCGUUCCACCUUCCAUUUGGGGAGAUGACGAUGACCCUUGAGGACAUGGCUAUGAUAAGCGGCCUUCCUAUCAAUGGACAAGCUGUUACCGGUCGUGUCAGUGCCGUUAAUUGGCGAGAACGGACUGGCAUUUUAAUUGGUGUUCAGCCCGACGCCCCUGAGGAAGGCAAGGCCGAUACCGCGAGAGUGAGGCAUUCUUGGCUAAAAGCGGUUAGAGGAAACACCAAUCCGUGUCCUCAGGGUGCUAAUGACGUGGUUGUGCAGCAGUACGCGCGGGCCUAUCUUUGGUAUGUGCUAACCAAGGUAGUCUUCUCAGAUGCAACCGGGAACUCGGCCCUCUGGAUGUUCCUGAAGCUACUCAAUAACUGGGAUACCCAGUAUAGCUGGGGUUCGGCCGCACUAGCAUAUUUGUAUCAUCAGCUUGACUUGGCGUGUCGCAGGAAGGGAGAUACAUCCUCAUUGGCUGGGUUUGUUUGGAGCCUAUCCGUGUGGAUGUGGGAUCGGAUCCCGGUUGGACGGCCCGAUAUCAAGGACCCCAACAUGGCAAACCCACGGGGUAAUCCAGACGGGCUGCAUGAUGAUGAUCCAUAUCGGCGCCCUACGCUUGCUUACUAUUGGGAACAAGUGACAGUGUACACAGGAAGCUCGCAUGUGCGAUACAAGUGCUAUAUGAACGAGCUGGACACCUUGACUGCUGAGCGGGUAUAG